GCGAGAGCUGCUUUUCUACUGAACACACAAGUUGAUUUCCUCACUAUCACUGUGUCUGAACAGGAACGAUGAUCUCACUCUUUGUGGCGCUUUACUCUCUGCUUUGUCUCUGCACAGCUGUAAAAACAUCUGACAUCAAGGAGCUUCACGUGAAAACAGUAAAGAGUGGAGAAGAUGUAACUAUAGAGUGUAACAUCACUAUGAUUACAGACAAAAGUAAAGUAUCCUGGUACAGACAGAAUUUUGGAAAAGUGCCUCAGUUUUUUGCUAAAUAUUACGGGACAAAUUAUUUCACAUUUACUGAUGGAUUUAAUGAUAAUCGCUUCAGUAUUACUGUAAAUGAGCAGCAGUUUAAUCUCAACAUUAAGAACCUGAGAGAAGAUGAUGGAGGAGAAUAUUUCUGUGGAGAAAAUGAUGGAACUACAAUAAAGUUCACAUCUGGAGAACGUCUGCAAUUUGAAGGUAAACAAAUGUUAUUUUUCCAUCCAGAUUCCAGUUGUACUGAUCAGAUGCAUGUGCUCUUCUUGCUCUCUAUUGUUAGAGUUGGAGUUCUUGCCUUCAUGAUUAUUAUCUUUCCAAUCCUCCUGAUUGUUUGUAAAUUCAGAUCAAAUUAGAAAUUUAAUAUAGAAAUAGAAGAAAUAGUGAAAUAAGGACAAAACCAUGUGUUGGAUUCAGUUCAUGAUAAUUGAUGAUGUUGGUUAUAUACUGGAAUG
This is a non-coding RNA of Silurus meridionalis, 713 nucleotides long. Lineage: Eukaryota; Metazoa; Chordata; Actinopteri; Siluriformes; Siluridae. The record is from the annotation of a RefSeq genome assembly.